Molecule: non-coding RNA, 483 nt
Organism: Peromyscus eremicus (cactus mouse)
Lineage: Eukaryota; Metazoa; Chordata; Mammalia; Rodentia; Cricetidae
Source: the annotation of a RefSeq genome assembly
AUGAAGUUGCCUGUUCAGCUUUUGGUGUUGCUGUUGUUCAGGAUUCCUGCUUCCAGCAGUGAUGUUGUGGUGACCCAAACUCCAACCUCCCUGCCUGUCAGCCUUGGAGAUCAAGCCUCCAUCUCUUGCAGAUCUAGUCAGAGCCUUGUACAUGGUGAUGGAAACACCUAUUUGUAUUGGUGCCUGCAGAGGCCAGGCCAGUCUCCAAAGCCGCUUAUCUACAGGGCUUCCUACCGAUACUCUGGGGUGCCAGACAGGUUCAGUGGCAGUGGGUCAGGCACAGAUUUCACACUCAAGAUCAGCAGAGUAGAGCCUGAAGACUUGGGAAUUUAUUACUGCAUGCAAUAUACACAUUUGUCCCACAGUGAUUCAGACCCUAACAAAAACAUCUUUGUAGUGGCCCAGCUGCUAAGUAUGUUCCUCAUCUGUGUAAAAGAACUGCUGAGGAACACCAGAUUACUGGUUGCGGCUGGGUACCUUUGA